AGUCGAGGGGUAUAAGUAGCAAUACUUAGAGACCGGCGCACGGGUGAGUAACGCGUAUGCAACCUGCCCUUUACUGGAGGAUAGCCCGUAGAAAUGCGGAUUAAUACCCCAUAGUAAUGUUGGAUCGCAUGAUCUGGCAUUUAAAGUUUCGGCGGUAAAGGAUGGGCAUGCGUGACAUUAGCUAGUUGGAGAGGUAACGGCUCACCAAGGCUUCGAUGUCUAGGGGUUCUGAGAGGAAGAUCCCCCACACUGGUACUGAGACACGGACCAGACUCCUACGGGAGGCAGCAGUGAGGAAUAUUGGUCAAUGGGCGAGAGCCUGAACCAGCCAUCCCGCGUGCAGGAAGAAUGCCCUAUGGGUUGUAAACUGCUUUUUCGCAUGAAGAACACCCCUGACGUGUCAGGGGCUGACGGUAAUGCGUGAAUAAGCACCGGCUAACUCCGUGCCAGCAGCCGCGGUAAUACGGAGGGUGCAAGCGUUAUCCGGAUUUAUUGGGUUUAAAGGGUGCGUAGGCGGCUAUUUAAGUCAGUGGUGAAAUCCUGCAGCUUAACUGUAGAACAGCCAUUGAAACUGAAUAGCUUGAGUGAUCUUGAGGUAGGCGGAAUGUGUAGUGUAGCGGUGAAAUGCUUAGAUAUUACACAGAACACCGAUUGCGAAGGCAGCUUACUAAGGAUUUACUGACGCUGAUGCACGAAAGCGUGGGGAUCAAACAGGAUUAGAUACCCUGGUAGUCCACGCCGUAAACGAUGAUAACUCGCUGUUGGCGAUACACAGUCAGCGGCUUAGCGAAAGCGUUAAGUUAUCCACCUGGGGAGUACGCUCG
RNAcentral lists this ribosomal RNA (824 nucleotides) under uncultured bacterium. RNAcentral describes it as "bacterial SSU rRNA". It matches the Rfam family "Bacterial small subunit ribosomal RNA", at positions 60 to 888 of the family's 1533-position model. The record is from RNAcentral.